UACAGAGGGGGCAAGCGUUGUUCGGAAUUACUGGGCGUAAAGAGCUCGUAGGCGGCUUGUCGCGUCGAAUGUGAAAUCCCGAGGCUCAACUUCGGGCUUGCAUUCGAUACGGGCAGGCUAGAGUUCGGUAGGGGAGACUGGAAUUCCUGGUGUAGCGGUGAAAUGCGCAGAUAUCAGGAGGAACACCGGUGGCGAAGGCGGGUAGCUGGGCCGACACUGACGCUGAUGCGCGAAAGCCAGGGGAGCGAACGGG
RNAcentral lists this ribosomal RNA (253 nucleotides) under uncultured bacterium. RNAcentral describes it as "partial 16S ribosomal RNA". It matches the Rfam family "Bacterial small subunit ribosomal RNA", at positions 524 to 776 of the family's 1533-position model. The record is from RNAcentral.